AUACCGGGCCUUUUUGGGCUUGGCAAUUGGAAUGAGGGAGAGUUAAACGGACCAUCGAGUAUCCAUUGGAGGGCAAGUCUGGUGCCAGCAGCUGCGGUAAUACCAGCUCCAAUAGCGUAUAUUAAAGUUGUUGCAGUUAAAAAGCUCGUAGUUGGACUUGUGUGCGCUGUCCGCGGGUGGCCUGCGCCCAAAAGGGCGUUUCGGUUCGGCCCCGGUGGCGCCUUGAAAUCUGCAGCUGGGGGGACGUUGGCCUUAACUGGUCGGCGACCGCACGCCGGCUGCUCGGUUACUGUGAGAAAAUUAGAGUGUUCAAGGCAGGCAUUGGGUGCAAUUGAAUACAUUAGCAUGGAAUAAUAAAAUAUGGCUCCUGCCGUAUUUUGUUGGUUUUGACUGGUGGGAGUAAUGAUUGAUAGGGACGGUUGGGGGUGCUAGUAUUGAGCGGCCAGAGGUGAAAUUCAUGGAUUCGCUCAAGACUAACUUAUGCGAAAGCAUUCACCAAGGACGUCCUCUUUAAUCAAGAACGAAAGUUCGGGGAUCGAAGACGAUCAGAUACCGUCGUAGUCUCAACCAUAAACUAUGUCGACUUGGGAUCGGCGGUAGUUUUUUCAUUAAGACACUGUCGGGACCACGGGAGAAAUCAAAGUGUCUGGACUCUGGGGGAAGUAUGGUCGCAAGGCUGAAACUUGAAGGAAUUGACGGAAGGGCACCACCAGGAGUGGAGCCUGCGGCUUAAUUUGACCCAACACACGGAAACUUACCAGGUCCAGAGAUGUAGAGGAUUGACAGAUUGAAGCUCUUUCUUGAUCACUUCGGUGGUGGUGCAUGGCCGUUCUUAGUUGGUGGAGUGAUUUGUCUGGUUAAUUCCGUUAACGAACGAGACCUCAGCCUGCUAGUGUAGUCGGCUGGAUUGCCUUUGGCGAUCCGUGAUUUCGACUUCUUAGAGGGACAAUCGACGCGCAGUCGAUGGAAGUUUGAGGCAAUAACAGGUCUGUGAUGCCCUUAGAUGUUCUGGGCCGCACGCGCGCUACACUGCUGGGCUCAGCGAGUUUUACUUGGCCGAGAGGCCCGGUUAAUCUUGUGAAAUCCCAGCGUGCUUGGGCUCGCCUCCUGCAACUGGAGGCGCCAACGAGGAAUUCCUAGUAGACGCAGGUCAUCAACCUGCAUCGAUUACGCCCCUGCCCUUUGUACACACCGCCCGUCGUUCCAUAAGAGUGAGGCAUCCGGUGAAUUCUCGGGAGAGCCUGGGCGUGGCCAGCAAUGGUCUGCUCGGGUUUGAACUUGCAUAAACUUGGUGCCUAUGAUUAGGG
Molecule: ribosomal RNA, 1307 nt
Filed under: metagenome
Description: SSU rRNA
Rfam family: Eukaryotic small subunit ribosomal RNA
Source: RNAcentral